This 1692-nucleotide long non-coding RNA is filed under the name Bemisia tabaci. RNAcentral's name for it is "lncRNA ENSASIAIIG009961". Lineage: Eukaryota; Metazoa; Arthropoda; Insecta; Hemiptera; Aleyrodidae. The record is from RNAcentral.
UAGCCAGUUGAUGACGCAUUUCAGCUCGGUUAUAAAUGAUGCUGUGGGGCCUUGGGGUUUACAGUUCGUCGGUGAGCUUUCACAGCGGUCGUAGCAAUCAAAGAGAGAGUUCGUUACCCCUCCCGAGAUGAAAUUAACUAUCGCCGCGUUUUGUUUGGUUCUACUGGCCGUAGAUGUUGAAUUGCGAGCGAGUCAGAAAUCACGGAAACCGGCAGAGGAACCGGAAGUACAUCCGAGUUUAGUCCGCAACAGGAUAAACAAACCGGCCAAAGGUCGGUCGUCACCGCCCACCCCACCACGAUACCGUGUGAAUCCAGUGCGCGGAAACCAAGCGCACAAGGAUGUUCGAGGCGACACAGCUAAACCACCCGAAGGCUUCGUGAUGCCCAAGCUAGAAAUUCCGGAAAAACUGAAAGACUACCAUCCCGACAUAAUCAAGGAAGCUCUGGCAGCUUAUAGUCAAAUCAAGCCGGAGAUCCUCGAAAGAAUGCUCUUCAGAACCGACAUGUUUUACGCCCCAUUUAAAUCUGCGGUCCAGACUUUGACAACGAAAUUCAAUAUAGGUGACAAGGAAGCACGAAAUAUUGUUCGUCACCAAAUUGGAGAUCAACUAUCGCAGCUGGAGAUACAGAUGACCAUGCCAAUCGUUGAAAACAUUCUUACCAGAGCAAUGCUUGCGAAGGGUUUCAAUAUCACCUACUUGAAGAAAAACAAAUUUAUUAAGGAAAAGUAAAGUCCAUACAGUUACGAAAUAAGAAUAGUAAGGAUAAAUUGUAUCCGACAAAAAAUUUAAAAUACCCCUGGUUGAUUUCAUGAUACAAGGAAUAGUCGUGUAGCCGGUAGGAAUGAGUAACUUACGACACAAUAAUCAAAAAUUGAGGUAAUAUAUCGGAAUGUAUGAUAUCCCUCAGUUUAUCCACGCAAAACUAUGUAAAAUAUUAUCAUUAUUUAAAAAUGUUGCGUCUCCAAAGACGGGGAAUGUUCGAUCGGUUACACGUUGCCAAUUCCGAUCUUUAAGGUACACGGAAAUAAAAGGUAUUAGGAAAAUUAGGGUAAAAAGGAAAUUAAGGUAGCACCCCAAUUAAUUAUGGUAGUACCCUAAUAAAUUAGGUAAAAACUAAGCCAAAUGUUGCGGUACUACCCUGACUUGAGUUGCGGUACUACCACAAUUAAUUUGAAAUGUCCAUAUCUACCAAUAAAUUGGGGUAGUACCACAAUUUUAGGGGAUAGCCCCUAGGGGUAGGGGCUAGGGGGCGGGGGUAGUACCGCAAUAUUUGGCUUAGUUUUUACCUAAUUUAUUGGGGUACUACCAUAAUUAAUUGGGGUGCUACCUUAAUUUACUGGGGUACCACCACAAUUAAUUGGAAAUGUCCAUAUCAUCAAACAACCUCGUGUAAUUUUUGGCGGUAAAUAAGUGAUGAUCAUAGAUUAUCACGGCCAUAGUUUGUGAAUAAGGUUCCUCGUGUUUGAAAAUGAAGUCAAAAUUUUCCUAUCCAGCAAGAAAAGUCAUGAAAAGCACGUAUCGCCAUAAUUUGCAACGCGGCUUGCCAGUGACGUUUAAAUACUGUGUUUUCCUCGUCGGAUAUAGCUACGUGUAGCUCGUGAACAGAGGGAGUACUCAACAUCGAAGUCUGUGUUUUUUUAAUAACUUCUAAUCUAUUGCAUUAUUUAUUUGGAUCACGAAUUUACCUA